This 281-nucleotide unclassified non-coding RNA is filed under the name Spiromastigoides asexualis. RNAcentral describes it as "Spiromastix asexualis partial internal transcribed spacer region". The stretch from base 1 to 46 matches the Rfam family "Eukaryotic small subunit ribosomal RNA", at positions 1786 to 1831 of the family's 1831-position model. Lineage: Eukaryota; Fungi; Ascomycota; Eurotiomycetes; Onygenales; Spiromastigoidaceae. The record is from RNAcentral.
AAGUCGUAACAAGGUUUCCGUAGGUGAACCUGCGGAAGGAUCAUUACCGCGCCUGUAGUUGUUGGCGGGCUCCCUCGGGGGUUCGUUCAGCGCUACAUCCGGCCCAACCGUGUCUAUUUCUACCUGUUGCUUCGGCGGGCCUGCGGGCUUGCUCGCUGCCGGAAGCCCCUAAGGCUUCGGGCUCGUGUCCGCCGAAGACGCCUAGAACUACUGUUGAACUUGGCGGUCUGAGUAAACUUGAUUAAUUAUCAAAACUUUCAACAACGGAUCUCUUGGUUCCA